GCGGCCGAUUAGGUAGUUGCUGGGGUAACGUCCCAACAAGCCGAUAAUCGGUACGGGUUGUGAGAGCAAGAGCCCGGAGAUGGAUUCUGAGACACGAAUCCAGGUCCUACGGGGCGCAGCAGGCGCGAAAACUUUACACUGCGCGAAAGCGCGAUAAGGGGACCUCGAGUGCGUGCGCAAUGCGUACGCUUUUCAGAUGCCUAAAAAGCAUGUGGAAUAAGGGCCGGGCAAGACCGGUGCCAGCCGCCGCGGUAACACCGGCGGCUCAAGUGGUGGCCGCUAUUAUUGGGCUUAAAGGGUCCGUAGCCGGACCAGUUAGUCCCUUGGGAAAUCUUACGGCUUAACCGUAAGGCUGCCAAUGGAUACUGCUGGUCUUGGGACCGGGAGAGGUAAGAGGUACCUCAGGGGUAGGAGUGAAAUCCUGUAAUCCUUGAGGGACCGCCAGUGGCGAAGGCGUCUUACUAGAACGGGUCCGACGGUGAGGGACGAAAGCUAGGGGCACGAACCGGAUUAGAUACCCGGGUAGUCCUAGCCGUAAACGAUGCGAGCUAGGUGUCACGUGGAUUGCGAAUCCAUGUGGUGCCGAAGGGAAACCGUGAAGCUCGCCGCCUGGGAAGUACGGCCGCAAGGCUGAAACUUAAAGGAAUUGGCGGGGGAGCAC
Molecule: ribosomal RNA, 661 nt
Filed under: uncultured euryarchaeote
Lineage: Archaea; Methanobacteriati; Methanobacteriota
Description: bacterial SSU rRNA
Rfam family: Archaeal small subunit ribosomal RNA
Source: RNAcentral